RNAcentral lists this ribosomal RNA (1137 nucleotides) under Klebsiella pneumoniae. RNAcentral's name for it is "bacterial SSU rRNA". It matches the Rfam family "Bacterial small subunit ribosomal RNA", at positions 37 to 1167 of the family's 1533-position model. Lineage: Bacteria; Pseudomonadati; Pseudomonadota; Gammaproteobacteria; Enterobacterales; Enterobacteriaceae. The record is from RNAcentral.
UGGCGGCUGCCUACACAUGCAGUCGAGCGGUAGCACAGAGAGCUUGCUCUCGGGUGACGAGCGGCGGACGGGUGAGUAAUGUCUGGGAAACUGCCUGAUGGAGGGGGAUAACUACUGGAAACGGUAGCUAAUACCGCAUAACGUCGCAAGACCAAAGUGGGGGACCUUCGGGCCUCAUGCCAUCAGAUGUGCCCAGAUGGGAUUAGCUAGUAGGUGGGGUAACGGCUCACCUAGGCGACGAUCCCUAGCUGGUCUGAGAGGAUGACCAGCCACACUGGAACUGAGACACGGUCCAGACUCCUACGGGAGGCAGCAGUGGGGAAUAUUGCACAAUGGGCGCAAGCCUGAUGCAGCCAUGCCGCGUGUGUGAAGAAGGCCUUCGGGUUGUAAAGCACUUUCAGCGGGGAGGAAGGCGAUAAGGUUAAUAACCUUGUCGAUUGACGUUACCCGCAGAAGAAGCACCGGCUAACUCCGUGCCAGCAGCCGCGGUAAUACGGAGGGUGCAAGCGUUAAUCGGAAUUACUGGGCGUAAAGCGCACGCAGGCGGUCUGUCAAGUCGGAUGUGAAAUCCCCGGGCUCAACCUGGGAACUGCAUUCGAAACUGGCAGGCUAGAGUCUUGUAGAGGGGGGUAGAAUUCCAGGUGUAGCGGUGAAAUGCGUAGAGAUCUGGAGGAAUACCGGUGGCGAAGGCGGCCCCCUGGACAAAGACUGACGCUCAGGUGCGAAAGCGUGGGGAGCAAACAGGAUUAGAUACCCUGGUAGUCCACGCCGUAAACGAUGUCGAUUUGGAGGUUGUGCCCUUGAGGCGUGGCUUCCGGAGCUAACGCGUUAAAUCGACCGCCUGGGGAGUACGGCCGCAAGGUUAAAACUCAAAUGAAUUGACGGGGGCCCGCACAAGCGGUGGAGCAUGUGGUUUAAUUCGAUGCAACGCGAAGAACCUUACCUGGUCUUGACAUCCACAGAACUUUCCAGAGAUGGAUUGGUGCCUUCGGGAACUGUGAGACAGGUGCUGCAUGGGCUGUCGUCAGCUCGUGUUGUGAAAUGUUGGGUUAAGUCCCGCAACGAGCGCAACCCUUAUCCUUUGUUGCCAGCGGUUCCGGCCGGGAACUCAAAGGAAACUGCCAGUGAUAAACUGGA